CAUACAAUAUCCAGUGCUCAUCACAACAAAUACCCUCCUUAGUACCCAUCACCCAUCUAGCUCAUCUCACACCCACCUCCCGCCAUCAACUCAUAGUUUGCUCUCUAUCAUUAAGAGCCUCUUGUGAUUUGUUUUCCCCUCUUCCCUUCCCCCCCAUUUCCAUAUGUUCAUCUGUUUUCUUUCUUAAAUUCCACAUAUCAGUGAAAUCAUACGGUAUUUGUCCUUCUCUGACUGACUUAUUUUGC
Molecule: long non-coding RNA, 245 nt
Organism: Prionailurus viverrinus (fishing cat)
Lineage: Eukaryota; Metazoa; Chordata; Mammalia; Carnivora; Felidae
Exons: 3
Source: RefSeq, a predicted model, not a curated record